This 385-nucleotide unclassified non-coding RNA is filed under the name Hevea brasiliensis (rubber tree). Lineage: Eukaryota; Viridiplantae; Streptophyta; Magnoliopsida; Malpighiales; Euphorbiaceae. The record is from RNAcentral.
AAGAAAGCAGCAAUGUUGGCUAAUCCCCUCAGCCAAACAGGGCCGCUGACAUUGUAGAGCAAAUAAGAUGAUGAUUUGGAUCCAUACGCCCAAUACCCCAUGUAAGUAACAGCAUGCACUGGCACAGCUCCUAUAGUAAACUGAAAAUAUAGGGCUUUCAACAUGUUGUCAACAACCGGUGCUCUAACAGUAGCCUGGAUCUCUGGGAUCAUUCCUGUGUUGUAUACAAAAACAAGACUUGCAGCCGCACCAAUAGUUGUAAAAGUUCUACUAGAGGAGGAUCCUGGAAUGCUAUAAUCCCUAGGAGGAGCAUUAAUACCAUCUUUAAGACACAAAGCAAAGGCUAUUGAGAAAUACACUAUACUGAGGAAUGUGGAAACUGCCA